RNAcentral lists this ribosomal RNA (254 nucleotides) under uncultured bacterium. RNAcentral describes it as "partial 16S ribosomal RNA". It matches the Rfam family "Bacterial small subunit ribosomal RNA", at positions 524 to 776 of the family's 1533-position model. The record is from RNAcentral.
CACGUAGGGUGCGAGCGUUGUCCGGAAUUAUUGGGCGUAAAGAGCUCGUAGGCGGUGUGUCGCGUCGGCCGUGAAAACCUGUGGCUUAACUGCGGGCUUGCGGUCGAUACGGGCAUCACUGGAGUUCGGCAGGGGAGACUGGAAUUCCUGGUGUAGCGGUGAAAUGCGUAGAUAUCGGGAGGAACCCCUGCGGUGUAGACGGCUUCCUGGACCGCCACUGACGCUGAGGCACGAAAGCGUGGGUAGCAAACAGG